RNAcentral lists this ribosomal RNA (500 nucleotides) under Vibrio natriegens. RNAcentral describes it as "bacterial SSU rRNA". It matches the Rfam family "Bacterial small subunit ribosomal RNA", at positions 100 to 597 of the family's 1533-position model. Lineage: Bacteria; Pseudomonadati; Pseudomonadota; Gammaproteobacteria; Vibrionales; Vibrionaceae. The record is from RNAcentral.
GACGGGUGAGUAAUGCCUAGGAAAUUGCCCUGAUGUGGGGGAUAACCAUUGGAAACGAUGGCUAAUACCGCAUGAUGCCUACGGGCCAAAGAGGGGGACCUUCGGGCCUCUCGCGUCAGGAUAUGCCUAGGUGGGAUUAGCUAGUUGGUGAGGUAAGGGCUCACCAAGGCGACGAUCCCUAGCUGGUCUGAGAGGAUGAUCAGCCACACUGGAACUGAGACACGGUCCAGACUCCUACGGGAGGCAGCAGUGGGGAAUAUUGCACAAUGGGCGCAAGCCUGAUGCAGCCAUGCCGCGUGUGUGAAGAAGGCCUUCGGGUUGUAAAGCACUUUCAGUCGUGAGGAAGGUGGCGUAGUUAAUAGCUGCAUUAUUUGACGUUAGCGACAGAAGAAGCACCGGCUAACUCCGUGCCAGCAGCCGCGGUAAUACGGAGGGUGCGAGCGUUAAUCGGAAUUACUGGGCGUAAAGCGCAUGCAGGUGGUUUGUUAAGUCAGAUGUGA